Molecule: ribosomal RNA, 489 nt
Filed under: uncultured bacterium
Lineage: Bacteria
Description: partial 16S ribosomal RNA
Rfam family: Bacterial small subunit ribosomal RNA
Source: RNAcentral
GACGAACGCUGGCGGCGUGCUUAACACAUGCAAGUCGAACGGUGAAGGGAUCAGCUUGCUGGUUCUGGAUGAGUGGCGAACGGGUGAGUAACACGUGAGUAACCUGCCCCCUUCUUCUGGAUAACCGCAUGAAAGUGUGGCUAAUACGGGAUAUUCUGGGUCUGUCGCAUGAUGGGUCUGGGAAAGAUAUUGUUUCGGUGGGGGAUGGGCUCGCGGCCUAUCAGCUUGUUGGUGGGGUGAUGGCCUACCAAGGCGGUGACGGGUAGCCGGCCUGAGAGGGUGGGCGGUCACACUUGGACUGGGACACGGCCCAGACUCCUACGGGAGGCAGCAGUGGGGGAUAAUGCACAAUGGGGGCAAGCCUGAUGCAGCGACGCCGCGUGAGGGAAGGAGGCCUUCGGGGUGUAAACCUCUUUCGCCAGUGAAGCAGGCCUGCUCCUUGUGGGUGGGUUGACGGUAGCUGGAUAAGAAGCGCCGGCUAACUACGUG